UACGUAGGUGGCAAGCGUUAUCCGGAAUUACUGGGCGUAAAGGGUGCGUAGGCGGUCUUUCAAGCCAGAAGUGAAAGGCUACGGCUCAACCGUAGUAAGCUUUUGGAACUGUAAGACUUGAGUGCAGGAGAGGAGAGUGGAAUUCCUAGUGUAGCGGUGAAAUGCGUAGAUAUUAGGAGGAACACCAGUAGCGAAGGCGGCUCUCUGGACUGUAACUGACGCUGAGGCACGAAAACGUGGGGAGCAAACAGGAUUAGAUACCCGGGUAGUCCCUGAG
This 277-nucleotide ribosomal RNA is filed under the name uncultured prokaryote. Its description in RNAcentral is "partial 16S ribosomal RNA". It matches the Rfam family "Bacterial small subunit ribosomal RNA", at positions 524 to 801 of the family's 1533-position model. The record is from RNAcentral.